CAUAACUGCCAUCCGGUACAUGUGAUCUGAAACGCUCUCCGGCCUCUGGACAUUUCUGUAUACCCAGCCAGUUCGUGGGACUCUCUGAUAAAUAUGAAGAAGAAAAAGAAGUUUUAAAGAACAAAUAUUAACUAUCUGCUAUGCUCUUCAAGAGAUGUCCAGGAUAUAACACACAGAAGCCGGGUCAUAAUUUCAGAACCUAUUACAAAAUGUUUUGCUAAACUAGCUAAAAUGAUAGACAUCUGGAAUCAAAUGAACUAGAGAGCUCAGAGAAUGAAAGGGGUAGAAGACAGAGAGAGAUAAGUCACAAAGUCCAUUCGUCAAAUUAUUCUGUUACUGAUGUAUAAUUAUGGAACAUAUGCAAGUCCUUUAAACAAAAACAAAACUGCAUUUUUCCGAACAAGAGUUGCGGCUUUU
RNAcentral lists this long non-coding RNA (417 nucleotides) under Homo sapiens (human). RNAcentral describes it as "HSALNT0336709". The record is from RNAcentral. Lineage: Eukaryota; Metazoa; Chordata; Mammalia; Primates; Hominidae.